CUGUGAGCUCGAUGAGUAGGGCGGGACACGUGGUAUCCUGUCUGAAUAUGGGGGGACCAUCCUCCAAGGCUAAAUACUCCUGACUGACCGAUAGUGAACCAGUACCGUGAGGGAAAGGCGAAAAGAACCCCGGCGAGGGGAGUGAAAAAGAACCUGAAACCGUGUACGUACAAGCAGUGGGAGCACGCUUCGGCGUGUGACUGCGUACCUUUUGUAUAAUGGGUCAGCGACUUAUAUUCUGUAGCAAGGUUAACCGAAUAGGGGAGCCGAAGGGAAACCGAGUCUUAACUGGGCGUUAAGUUGCAGGGUAUAGACCCGAAACCCGGUGAUCUAGCCAUGGGCAGGUUGAAGGUUGGGUAACACUAACUGGAGGACCGAACCGACUAAUGUUGAAAAAUUAGCGGAUGACUUGUGGCUGGGGGUGAAAGGCCAAUCAAACCGGGAGAUAGCUGGUUCUCCCCGAAAGCUAUUUAGGUAGCGCCUCGUGAAUUCAUCUCCGGGGGUAGAGCACUGUUUCGGCAAGGGGGUCAUCCCGACUUACCAACCCGAUGCAAACUGCGAAUACCGGAGAAUGUUAUCACGGGAGACACACGGCGGGUGCUAACGUCCGUCGUGAAGAGGGAAACAACCCAGACCGCCAGCUAAGGUCCCAAAGUCAUGGUUAAGUGGGAAACGAUGUGGGAAGGCCCAGACAGCCAGGAUGUUGGCUUAGAAGCAGCCAUCAUUUAAAGAAAGCGUAAUAGCUCACUGGUCGAGUCGGCCUGCGCGGAAGAUGUAACGGGGCUAAACCAUGCACCGAAGCUGCGGCAGCGACACUAUGUGUUGUUGGGUAGGGGAGCGUUCUGUAAGCCUGUGAAGGUGUACUGUGAGGUAUGCUGGAGGUAUCAGAAGUGCGAAUGCUGACAUAAGUAACGAUAAAGCGGGUGAAAAGCCCGCUCGCCGGAAGACCAAGGGUUCCUGUCCAACGUUAAUCGGGGCAGGGUGAGUCGACCCCUAAGGCGAGGCCGAAAGGCGUAGUCGAUGGGAAACAGGUUAAUAUUCCUGUACUUGGUGUUACUGCGAAGGGGGGACGGAGAAGGCUAUGUUGGCCGGGCGACGGUUGUCCCGGUUUAAGCGUGUAGGCUGGUUUUCCAGGCAAAUCCGGAAAAUCAAGGCUGAGGCGUGAUGACGAGGCACUACGGUGCUGAAGCAACAAAUGCCCUGCUUCCAGGAAAAGCCUCUAAGCAUCAGGUAACAUCAAAUCGUACCCCAAACCGACACAGGUGGUCAGGUAGAGAAUACCAAGGCGCUUGAGAGAACUCGGGUGAAGGAACUAGGCAAAAUGGUGCCGUAACUUCGGGAGAAGGCACGCUGAUAUGUAGGUGAAGUCCCUCGCGGAUGGAGCUGAAAUCAGUCGAAGAUACCAGCUGGCUGCAACUGUUUAUUAAAAACACAGCACUGUGCAAACACGAAAGUGGACGUAUACGGUGUGACGCCUGCCCGGUGCCGGAAGGUUAAUUGAUGGGGUUAGCGCAAGCGAAGCUCUUGAUCGAAGCCCCGGUAAACGGCGGCCGUAACUAUAACGGUCCUAAGGUAGCGAAAUUCCUUGUCGGGUAAGUUCCGACCUGCACGAAUGGCGUAAUGAUGGCCAGGCUGUCUCCACCCGAGACUCAGUGAAAUUGAACUCGCUGUGAAGAUGCAGUGUACCCGCGGCAAGACGGAAAGACCCCGUGAACCUUUACUAUAGCUUGACACUGAACAUUGAGCCUUGAUGUGUAGGAUAGGUGGGAGGCUUUGAAGUGUGGACGCCAGUCUGCAUGGAGCCGACCUUGAAAUACCACCCUUUAAUGUUUGAUGUUCUAACGUUGGCCCGUGAUCCGGGUUGCGGACAGUGUCUGGUGGGUAGUUUGACUGGGGCGGUCUCCUCCUAAAGAGUAACGGAGGAGCACGAAGGUUGGCUAAUCCUGGUCGGACAUCAGGAGGUUAGUGCAAUGGCAUAAGCCAGCUUGACUGCGAGCGUGACGGCGCGAGCAGGUGCGAAAGCAGGUCAUAGUGAUCCGGUGGUUCUGAAUGGAAGGGCCAUCGCUCAACGGAUAAAAGGUACUCCGGGGAUAACAGGCUGAUACCGCCCAAGAGUUCAUAUCGACGGCGGUGUUUGGCACCUCGAUGUCGGCUCAUCACAUCCUGGGGCUGAAGUAGGUCCCAAGGGUAUGGCUGUUCGCCAUUUAAAGUGGUACGCGAGCUGGGUUUAGAACGUCGUGAGACAGUUCGGUCCCUAUCUGCCGUGGGCGCUGGAGAACUGAGGGGGGCUGCUCCUAGUACGAGAGGACCGGAGUGGACGCAUCACUGGUGUUCGGGUUGUCAUGCCAAUGGCACUGCCCGGUAGCUAAAUGCGGAAGAGAUAAGUGCUGAAAGCAUCUAAGCACGAAACUUGCCCCGAGAUGAGUUCUCCCUGACUCCCUGAGAGUCCUGAAGGAACGUUGAAGACGACGACGUUGAUAGGCCGGGUGUGUAAGCGCAGCGAUGCGUUGAGCUAACCGGUACUAAUGAACCGUGAGGCUUAACCUU
This 2547-nucleotide ribosomal RNA is filed under the name Escherichia coli. Its description in RNAcentral is "partial 23S ribosomal RNA". It matches the Rfam family "Bacterial large subunit ribosomal RNA", at positions 397 to 2925 of the family's 2925-position model. Lineage: Bacteria; Pseudomonadati; Pseudomonadota; Gammaproteobacteria; Enterobacterales; Enterobacteriaceae. The record is from RNAcentral.